AGAGUUUGAUCCUGGCUCAGGAUGAACGCUAGCUACAGGCUUAACACAUGCAAGUCGAGGGGAAACGACAUCGAAAGCUUGCUUUUGAUGGGCGUCGACCGGCGCACGGGUGAGUAACGCGUAUCCAACCUGCCCAUCACUUGGGGAUAACCUUGCGAAAGUAAGACUAAUACCCAAUGAUAUCUCUAGAAGGCAUCUGAAAGAGAUUAAAGAUUUAUCGGUGAUGGGUGGGGAUGCGUCUGAUUAGCCCUUGUUGGCGGGGUAACGGCCGACCAAAGCAACGAUCAGUAGGGGUUCUGAGAGGAAGGUCCCCACAUUGGAACUGAGACACGGUCCAAACUCCUACGGAGGCA
RNAcentral lists this ribosomal RNA (353 nucleotides) under uncultured bacterium. RNAcentral's name for it is "bacterial SSU rRNA". It matches the Rfam family "Bacterial small subunit ribosomal RNA", at positions 8 to 350 of the family's 1533-position model. The record is from RNAcentral.